Molecule: long non-coding RNA, 173 nt
Organism: Neltuma alba
Lineage: Eukaryota; Viridiplantae; Streptophyta; Magnoliopsida; Fabales; Fabaceae
Exons: 3
Source: RefSeq, a predicted model, not a curated record
UGAAAGAGCAAACAGGAAGGAGAUCCUCGAAGAAGGGACAUAAGAAAGCAUCACUUUCAAGACCGGUAAUUUGCAUUUGCAAUGACCUAUAUGCCCCUGCCUUGAGACCAUUGCGUCAGGUAGCAAAGGUUCACAUUUUUGUUCAACCAACAGUUAGUCGCGUGGUAAGCAGG